Molecule: long non-coding RNA, 4993 nt
Organism: Trachemys scripta elegans
Lineage: Eukaryota; Metazoa; Chordata; Testudines; Emydidae
Exons: 4
Source: RefSeq, a predicted model, not a curated record
ACAAGCCUCACCACAUCUGACGCAGUUGGCAGUCUUUGUUCAGAACAGUUACAGUGCUAAGUACAAAAUUAAUCACUUAGACACAGGUUUAUGCUGACUUUUACCUGGAAACCGGUGGCCUCGUCAAACGCAGGAUAAAGAAGAUGGAGACGCAUUCGUAGAGCAGACUAGAGAGCCAUGUGAUAAUGCUGCUAUUUCAGCCAGCACCAAGGAAUGGGCCUCUGACACUGAACAGGAGAAUGCUCUGUGUCCGUUAGAGUAAUGAUAUUGUCUGGAGAAAUAAAGCCACAGCAACAGGAUUCCAAGAAGGAGAAGAGAUAGGAGAUUCCCCAUUAUCCCAUGUGCCAUUGCUGAGGCUAAAGAAAAGUCCUUAUUAGUUAGCCGAUGGCAGAGGUGCCGUUCUACAGUCAUCACUGCAGAAGAGAGAGGCCUAAACCAACUCCUAAUCGAUCGAGACACUUCUGAACUUUGGGGAAGAUCAAAUUCAUCACCAGCCUGUCACCCUCAUGUGCCAAUUGCUGUUGCUGGUCAGGUUGGUGUCCCAAGGUGGAGAAAGUGACACAGCACAAGUAAGGACACUCUGGGGGAUUUGGGAAAAUAAGUUUGUUUGGUUGGUUUUUUGCUAACAAACAUUUAAACAAGGCAAAAAGUAGUGCUAUAAAUGCAGAAGCACUCAGUUAGAUGACAGUUGGAUAAGGGCAUUGCUCUCAGCUUCUACUGGUGUGUUAGUAUCUUUCUUUUUUGUAUGCCAUCUAUUCAAGCAGUUCUGCAAAGCGUAUCUAGUCACAAAGGCUCGGCAAAGUACCUAAGCAUAUGCCUAACAGCUUAAAAAAGUUAGAUAUGUGCUUAAGUACCUUGGCAAAUCACAGCCCAAAUGCUUACUGACUAAGAGCCCAUAAAGUCCUGAGUGCCGCUGAUUCCCAUGGACUUCAAUGGGAGUCGACAGCUCUCAGACUUCCAGGCCUGAGCCCAAAGCUAGAGAUUUUCAAAAUAAUUCAGGCCUGGGGUUUAUCUCUGGUCAGCUCAAGAGCUCGCCUAGGGGGUUAUAACGGGCUGUUUCCCCUAGGCACAACUUCAAGGGAGUCCUUGAUCAAUUAAUUGGUAUGCCAGAUGGCUUCUGGUUUCCACCGGAGGAUAAUUCUGGCUUGCAAGCAGCACAGCAGUAUGAAUGAAUGACUCUGGAACAGAUCAGCUUUACUUUUGCAACGUAAGUGCAAGUUGCACCUUGGAGAUUGCGCGGGGUAGGUUUACCAGUGACACAGAAUCUAAAGAACCUCCUCCUCUCUUUGGCCUGUUUUCUUUUUGUCUCUUCUCUUUCUUCAUUCAGAAGAAGCUUUUGCCACACCAGAUGGUAAUUCAGUUUCUGACUUGAUGGUGAGAGUGCCAGACAUAACACGCGUUUGUCGCCAAACUGGUAAAAAGGAUGAUUUACCAGCUUGUUUUCCUUCCAUUGGAUUACAUUUCUUUUGGAAGAGAAAGUAAUUUUAAUUAGAGCUGGAUAAGAACGAGAAUAAAUACAGCGAGAUGCAAAAAGUAACACUCUGUAAGGGCUGAGAGGGGAGGGAGAACCAUAUUCAGCAAAGUAAUGUCUAGGAGAGCUCUGUGUUUAGUUAGGUGGGUCCCCAUGGCUUUCGAUGCUUCUCACUAGCAGCUCCCCUCACAUCCCAUCCUUCACAUGGGUCAUGAUACAUUAAUAUGACUGGCAUACUUAGCAUGUACUAGGUGUCUUCCAAACAAUGAGGGAAACCCAGGCCCUGCCCGAGGACUGCAUAUUCUAAAGAGAUAAGGACACAGGACGGGUGGGGAGAUGGGAUAACGCAUACUGGACAAGCAGACCGAUCAGGGUCUUCUGACCCUGCAUUUUUUCCUGCCCUGAAACAGAUGCAUUCAGGAUGUUGUUGUUGUUGUUUUUUUUAAAUAUGCAUUGACAAUGGGUCCAAUAUGCAAAGCUGACAUCAGCAUGCAAUCUAGAUUUUGAAGCCACAAACUUCAGCUGUAUUCUGAUCUUGGGCUUUGGUUUGGCCUAUUAUAUAGAGAUAGGAGUCAGAUGCAAAGGACCAGAUUCAGAGAUGAUGGAUGAAGUGGCACAAGUUGGAUCUCUUAGACGCCCUUUAAUCUCUUCCUUACCUGUGAGUAAGGUGCAAUAUGAUUGUGACACACAAUCUAAGGGACUGAUCUUUGUUCCCUGGCUUCAGUCGCAUGACAUGGGCCAGGCUAACAAAAGGUUAUACCCUUGUCUGAUGUCAGGGCUCACUAUCCAUCAGCUCCAAUGACUAAUGUCACAUAAGAGAGACCAGAUGAGUGAGGUAAUAUCUUUUAUUGGACCAACUUCUGUUGUGAGAGAGACAUGAGAUUGACAUGGCUACAACACAAUAAGUUACACCUCCUACUGGUUUGUUGGUGUGUAAGCUGAAGUAAUGAGUGUCUGGCUCUAAUCAUUUUCAGUGACCAGUCCAUUUCCUAAUGUAGAUCAGACUAUUAAGACCCAUGCAAACUGCAACUGCUAUUUAAACUUGGUGCUAGCAGCAUUCUACCAUGGUUUGUUGAUAAGGAUGGACAGGGAAUUUUUUGCUUACUUAGAUUGUAAGCUCUUCAGCCAGGGAUCAUCUAUCUUUUUCUCAUGUUUGUACAGCACCUAGCACACUGGGGCCCUGAUUGGGGAACUUAGACACUUUUGCAAUACUAAUAAUAUACAAUAAUAAAUAGCCAAACUAGCCUAUAGUCUACCCCAUAGGUGGUCCACAGCCAGGUUUUUAAACACUGCUCUCUACACAGCGAUAGGGUGACGGCCCUACUGAUCAGGGAAAUUAUGUCAGAGUCAUAGUAGCAAACACUGAUAUGACCUAUUGCAGUGAGGGCCUAGAUGUGAAGACUAAUUUUGGAAGAGUUAUCCAAAGUGAUUUUGAAGUUGUCAUCCGAAUAGCAGAAUUAUUAUUGAGUCAGUGGAUAAAGACGAAGUCAAAUAAUUCAAAACUCUAAAGGUGGUGGCAGGGAUUUGUUAAGAUAACUGAAGAAUAAUUAUUGCUAUAGGCCUCUGGCUAGAUAUGCAGCUAGAUUACAUGAUUAAAGUAGAAGGACUCAUGAGUUCUGCCUCCUCGUUUAACACCAAGUAACCAAUUCAAUCCUAUGAGGAAAUCUCUUGCUUUAAUACUCAGUGGGAGGCUGUCAUGCUCCAUGAGUUGGAUACUUGCUUGUACUAAAAUCACUAUACUAGGUACUGCAUAAUGAAGAGACAUGGAAAGUAAGGAUAUUAGUGAGUGGGAAACUUAACAGCAAGGAGAGUAACUGAAAUGGGAACCUGUUAGAGAUUAUCCACAGUUGUAGUGUAGGAUUUUCAAAAGCACCCAAUUCCCACAGAAAGUCAAUUGGAGUUGGCCACCUAAGUGCUUUUGAAAAUCCAACCCAUCAUGUCUACUUACUUGUAUUCAGAACCUGAAUAACCCAGCCUCUCAUGCAAGGAAAGGGAAAAAGAGGAGCCCGAUCUAUUUCUCUCUCUCCUACAAAGUUCACCAUUUUUACUUGACUCAUCCCCUGCCUAAACCGUCUCACCGCCUCUUUUGUACAUAGCUUCUUUCAUGUCAUUUCUUCCUUAUUUAAACUUCGCAAACUAUUAGUAUUUUGUAGAAAAACUAAAUAUACUGUGGGAGAAUUACUUUAACACACAAGAGUUCUUGCACCCUCUACAACCACAUUUUCACCUACACUUGUAGUGCGCAGCGCUAGGCUGCACAGAAUAGCAAUAUUACCACUAUGUCUUCAUGCAGGGUCGGCUACAGGCACCAGCGAAAGAAGCAGGUGCUUGAGGCGGCCAAUAGAAAGGGGCGGCACGUCUGAGUCUUCGGCGGCAGGUCCCUCAAUCCCUCUCUUCCUCUUUGAGCUGCCGCCGAAGAGGAAGAGAGGGAGCGAAGGACCCGCCACCAAAUUACCGCCGAAGGAUGAAGCGGCACAAUUGAGCUGCCGUGGAAGUGCCACCGAUCGGCUUUAUCUUCUUUUUUCUUUUCGCCGCUUGGGGCGGCAAAACAGCUGGAGCCGGCCCUGAUUCAUGAGCCAAUUAUCAAACAUGCUGAGCACCCUCACGUCCCAUUGAAUUCAUUUGGAGGCCUGGUUUAGCACUUCUGAAAAAUCAAGCCUAGUAACAAACAAACUAAACAUACUUACAUCCAUUCCUAGGUCUGUCCCAGAAAUAGGACAUCUUUAUUCCCAGGAUUUGUCUACAGAAAUAGCAUUGCUAAUAGCUAUACAAGGACCAUUUUUGUAAUGCUAUGGUUCAUCACUGUAUUUUAUGUUAAUACUGUAUCAGAAGUAAUAUGCAUGUGAUUAAUAAUAUCUUAACCUAAUGGCUGCAUUCUUACUGUAAGAUCUAACUAGAAAGAACCUCAUUAAAGAAACAGGGGCUACUAUUAUCCUACUGGGUAUGCUGCUUUUUGUGAAAUUACAUUGAGAGGUUUCUUUAUUCAGUAAUUUGAUACUAUGAAAUAAUGUGAUCCCCAAAACAUACACUCCCAAUGUAUAGAACAGACUUGAAUGGAAAUAUGGUGAAUAGCAUCUGAAGAAGUGGGUUUUUUACCCACGAAAGCUUAUGCCCAAAUAAAUCUGUUAGUCUUUAAGGUGCCACCAGACUCCUUGUUGUUUUUGUGAAUACAGACUAAAACGGCUACCCCCCUCAGAUACUUGAGAUAAUCUUUGGUUUUUCAUGUUUCUUUCUCUGGGACAUAGCUUGUCAAUUAAGUCUUCUACUCCUGUAGAUCUUACACAGUGUUGCUGUUAUCUGUGGAAUUUUUUUUUUAUUAUUUUAAAAACUAAGCCGAUAUAAACAUAGCUUAUUUUGACUGUAAUAAAAUAAACUGUGCUUUUUUUGGAAACACAAAUCCUUACCAUACAUUUCUUCUUCUUGGAGGUGCCUGACCGCAACUGUAUCCCAGUGAAUGACUCACUCAUGCAGGAGUACGGCUCAUGGAACGUUUUAUCUUCACUGAUUCUCUGCCAAAUAAAA